CCCACCAUAGUUUAUUUAAAACGUCGACCUGCAAAAUCGAAAAAAGAAUCGCCUUCUUGGUGUGU
RNAcentral lists this transfer RNA (65 nucleotides) under Glyphostoma sp. JEU-2016. Its description in RNAcentral is "tRNA-Cys". Lineage: Eukaryota; Metazoa; Mollusca; Gastropoda; Neogastropoda; Clathurellidae. The record is from RNAcentral.